GGAACGUAACNCGACGUAGACUGGGGGAUAACACUUAGAAAUAGGUGCUAAUACCGCAUAAGCGCACAGCUUCGCAUGAAGCGGUGUGAAAAACUCUGGUGGUAUACGAUGGUUCCGCGUCUGAUUAGCUAGUUGGUGGGGUAAUGGCCUACCAAGGCAACGAUCAGUAGCCGGCCUGAGAGGGUGAACGGCCACAUUGGGACUGAGACACGGCCCAAACUCCUACGGGAGGCAGCAG
This 238-nucleotide ribosomal RNA is filed under the name uncultured bacterium. RNAcentral describes it as "partial 16S ribosomal RNA". It matches the Rfam family "Bacterial small subunit ribosomal RNA", at positions 112 to 354 of the family's 1533-position model. The record is from RNAcentral.